UACGGAGGAUCCAAGCGUUACCCGGAAUUACUGGGCGUAAAGAGUUGCGUAGGCGGUUUGCCAAGUUUUUGCUUAAAUACCAGGGCCCAACUCUGGGAGUGGCAAAAAAACUGGCAGACUCGAGGAAGGCAGAGGCAAGUGGAAUUUGUGGAGUAGGGGUGAAAUCCGUAGAUACCACAAGGAACACCAAUGGCGUAGGCAGCUUGCUGGGCCUUUCCUGACGCUGAGGCACGAAAGCGUGGGUAGCGAACCGG
Molecule: ribosomal RNA, 254 nt
Filed under: uncultured bacterium
Lineage: Bacteria
Description: partial 16S ribosomal RNA
Rfam family: Bacterial small subunit ribosomal RNA
Source: RNAcentral